Molecule: ribosomal RNA, 460 nt
Filed under: uncultured Xanthobacteraceae bacterium
Lineage: Bacteria; Pseudomonadati; Pseudomonadota; Alphaproteobacteria; Hyphomicrobiales; Xanthobacteraceae
Description: bacterial SSU rRNA
Rfam family: Bacterial small subunit ribosomal RNA
Source: RNAcentral
ACAAGCGGUGGAGCAUGUGGUUCAAUUCGAAGCAACGCGCAGAACCUUACCAACCCUUGACAUGUCCAGUAUGGGUUUCAGAGAUGAGACCCUUCAGUUCGGCUGGCUGGAACACAGGUGCUGCAUGGCUGUCGUCAGCUCGUGUCGUGAGAUGUUGGGUUAAGUCCCGCAACGAGCGCAACCCUCGCCCUUAGUUGCCAUCAUUUAGUUGGGCACUCUAGGGGGACUGCCGGUGAUAAGCCGCGAGGAAGGUGGGGAUGACGUCAAGUCCUCAUGGCCCUUACGGGUUGGGCUACACACGUGCUACAAUGGCGGUGACAGUGGGAUGCAAAGGGGUGACCCUACGCAAAUCUCAAAAAGCCGUCUCAGUUCGGAUUGGGGUCUGCAACUCGACCCCAUGAAGUCGGAAUCGCUAGUAAUCGUGGAUCAGCAUGCCACGGUGAAUACGUUCCCGGGCCUU